GGAUGGCGCUGGUUGGACUGGCCGGUCGGCGGGGCGGCAGCAGCGGAGACGGCGGCGCUAAACAGGCCGCCCUAACGUGCUCCUUCUUUCCCUCUCUCUACUCCUCGUCGCUCCGGUACCUCGAGGACCCGAAGCGAGGGAUGAGGGCGGGCAGGGGAAGGCUCCAAUUCCGACGCAUAUCUUCUUACCAGUACCUCAGGGUAGGGCUAGCGCAGGGCUACCUAGUCUUCGGAGUUCGGCUCAGUUUUAAGUUCGUCCAUCAUCUUCGUAUAAGAACAAACUUCCUACCAGCUUCUAAACCCUUGUCUUACCUUCACGUACAUUACUCCAGACCACAAGGUUGCCCUAUGUCUUCUAGUUUGUUCUAUAACCAAUUUCGGGGGAAAGACGAGUAUUAAACACGGCGUCAAAGGAAACCAAGGAUGUCGCGAAGCUCCCGUAUGGUCGCCGUUUUCCUACACACAAGGAGAGUCUUGGGAAAAGAAGGUAUUACCUUUGAGUAACAUGACAGCUAUAGGUAUAUUCGAUUAUCUUCUCUUCUAGACACACAACGUUAAACUCUACGUUUUGUUAGAGAGGUGACUUAUUUCCGUGGUUAGUGACAAACACUAAAGUUUCUUUUCUGUGUACGAAACAUCUACAAGUCAAAUCGAGAUCCCUCGUAUACGAGGACGCGCGGCGAAGGGACUUGCAAAACAGGUCACCUG
This 707-nucleotide ribosomal RNA is filed under the name Triticum aestivum (bread wheat). RNAcentral's name for it is "partial small subunit ribosomal RNA". Lineage: Eukaryota; Viridiplantae; Streptophyta; Magnoliopsida; Poales; Poaceae. The record is from RNAcentral.